Molecule: ribosomal RNA, 1942 nt
Filed under: Flectobacillus sp.
Lineage: Bacteria; Pseudomonadati; Bacteroidota; Cytophagia; Cytophagales; Flectobacillaceae
Description: partial 23S ribosomal RNA
Rfam family: Bacterial large subunit ribosomal RNA
Source: RNAcentral
GCUUAAAAAUUUAAUAGCUUGUAAGGGAUCCCUUGGUAUCCAAAAGCGAUGAAGGACGUGGCUACCGACGAUAUGUUUCGGGGAGCUGGAAGCAAGCUUUGAUCCGGAAAUUUCCGAAUGAGGCAACUCAUUAACUUUUUACUGAAUCUAUAAGUAAAAAGAGCAAACCUGGGGAAUUGAAACAUCUUAGUACUCAGAGGAAAAGAAAGUAAUAACGAUUCUCUUAGUAGCGGCGAGCGAAACGGGAUCUAGUCUAAACGCUUUUCUACUUAAUAGAUAAAGCGGGUCAUUGGGGAAAGAGAAGAGUGAACAUAAAUUCCUUUUAUAGGGUAAAAAAUUAGGUGAAAGAAUUGGAAAAUUCUGCCAAAGAAAGUGAUAGCCUUGUAACCAAAAAUUUUUCCAACUUUUUUUCCCGAGUAACAUGGGUCACGAGGAACCCCGUGUGAAUUUGCGAGGACCACCUCGUAAGACUAAAUAUUCUUGGAUGUCCGAUAGCGAAUAGUACCGCGAGGGAAAGGUGAAAAGAACCCCGGGAGGGGAGUGAAAAAGAACGUGAAAUUGCAAGCUUACAAACAGAAGACGAACGACUUAGCGUUUUACUUCGUGCCUGUUGAAGAAUGUUCCGGCGACUUAUAGGGAGUGGCAGGUUAAGAUAGAGAUAUCGGAGCCAUAGUGAAAGCGAGCUUGAAUAGAGCGAAAGUCACUUUUUAUAGACCCGAACCCGCUUGAUCUAACCAUGGACAGGAUGAAACUGGGGUACAACUUAGUGGAGGUCCGAACCGACUAAUGUUGAAAAAUUAGCGGAUGAGCUGUGGUUAGGGGUGAAAUGCCAAUCGAAAGCGGAGCUAGCUGGUUCUCCCCGAAAUGUAUUUAGGUGCAGCGGUAAAUUUUAAGCGUAGGGGUAAAGCACUGUUUCGAUGCGGGCUGGUAAUUCGGUACCAAAUCAAGGCAAACUCUGAAUACUAUGUGAACAAUUUACCAGUAAGACUACGAGGGAUAAGCUUCGUAGUCAAGAGGGAAACAGCCCAGAUCACCAGCUAAGGCCCCUAAAUAAAUGCUAAGUGAUAAAGGUAGUGGAAAGGCUCAGACAACCAGGAGGUUCGCUUAGAAGCAGCAAUCCUUUAAAAAGUGCGUAAUAGCUUACUGGUCUAGCAAUUUUGCGCCGAAAACUCUUGGGACUAAGCAUUUUGCCGAAGCUGUGAGAUAUCAAUUGAUAUCGGUAGGGGAGCGUUCCAUUAUAGAAUGAAGUAUCAGCGAAAGUGGGUAUGGACGAAAUGGAAGUGAAAAUGUCGGAUUGAGUAGCGAAAACAUUGGUGAGAAUCCAAUGCUCCGAAACCCUAAGGUUUCCUCCGCAAGGCUCGUCCACGGGGGGUUAGUCAGGACCUAAGGUGAGGCUGAAAAGCGUAAUCGAUGGACAAUAGGUUAAUAUUCCUAUACUGAUUAUUACUGGUAUCGAGGGACGAAGAAGGCUACACUAGCCAGAUAGUGGUAACUGGUUCAAAUCUUCGAGGUGUUGAAAAUUAGAGAAAAUAAUUUGAGCUGAGAGAUGAGUACAAGAUUAAAAAUCAAAGUAGUGAAUGUCAUACUUCCAAGAAAAGCUCGCAAUGCCAUUUAAAGUAAUAAUUACCUGUACCUUAAACCGACACAGGUAGGGAGGUAGAGAAUACCAAGGAGCGCGAGAGAACCCUCCUUAAGGAACUCGGCAAAAUAGCUCUGUAACUUCGGGAGAAAGAGUGCCCUAUGGGCUGCAAUAUCAAGUUCCAAGCAACUGUUUAGCAAAAACACAGGUCUCCGCUAAGUUGCAAAACGAUGUAUGGGGGCUGACGCCUGCCCAGUGCCGGAAGGUUAAAGAAGUUGGUUAGCGUAAGCAAAGCUAGCGACUGAAGCCCCGGUGAACGGCGGCCGUAACUAUAACGGUCCUAAGGUAGCGAAAUUCCUUGUC